UAUAUAUAUGUAUGUAUGUAUAUAUAUGUACAUUAUUCAUUCACUGUGACAUUACAACAAGCCGAGUAGCGAAGAGCGAAGUUUGCAUUACAGGCUGUAAUUGACAGCAGACAACCGGCCGUAGAACAUUUUCAUUAGUUGGUGUUGUGGACUGUUAUAGUUUGAAGUUUGUUUUAGUAUUCUGUACUGAUAACUGAAAUGCAUAAUAUAUUUUUUGCUGUGUAAAUUUUAGCUAAAUGUAUAUGUAUAGUGAAAUAACUGUUUUUGUCUUUUCACUUUUAGGUUAUUAGUAAACCAAAUUAAGAAAAGGAAAGAUGAAGGAUGGAAGACUUAUUCAAGUCAAGAUCUGUAACUGGGAAUAAAGUGGAAUGAUAAUCAAUUGCAGGAGGAUGUGGAGAAUUUGUUAAUAAUGUGAAACAUGAUUAUUUGCUGGACCUUUAACUUCAUAUAUAUAUACUAGCUGUUCCCCGCGGCUUCGCAUGCUUUUUGUCUAAUGCGGAAUAUGUCUUCAAAAGGAUUCUCCAGGCUUCAUUAUUUGAUGAUUACUUUAAAAAACAGUUGGACCGGCAGAAAUGGCAGUAAUAUAUUCGGCCAUGGAUAUUAAAACAAUAUUCUAUCUAGAAACAUCAGUUCAAGUACUGCAGUGUGUAUACGAUCCCUUUCAACCCCUCAUCAAAAGAAACCGGCAAGUCAGACAGUGGAUUCCAGGCUGGACCAGUGGUCCCAAGUGUUCACACCCUAAAAAGAAGGUAAGAAAUUACCCUGACAGUUUUACGAUGUGGACCUACAAUACGUUUACCAUUGUUUAUUUACUAGAUAAAGAUACUAUAAAUAUAUUUCAAUUUACGUUUGAUAAACUACAGUAGCCUUUCAACAUUUAUAUUUUAUUACUGACUAGAUAGGAGACUGAGCCCCUAGAUACAGUAGUAGUAAUAAGUUCAAAAUAUAAUCUUAUAAAUAAAAAUGAAUCGCUGAAUGUCUUGCUAAUCCUGGGAUAAGUA
Long non-coding RNA from Homalodisca vitripennis (glassy-winged sharpshooter), 1001 nucleotides. RefSeq lists it as uncharacterized. The transcript is spliced from 4 exons. NCBI's taxonomy places the organism in Eukaryota, Metazoa, Arthropoda, Insecta, Hemiptera, Cicadellidae. The record is from RefSeq and is a predicted model, not a curated record.